Molecule: long non-coding RNA, 206 nt
Filed under: Lathyrus oleraceus (garden pea)
Lineage: Eukaryota; Viridiplantae; Streptophyta; Magnoliopsida; Fabales; Fabaceae
Description: Pisum sativum (pea) long non-coding RNA (PSAT_LNC026512)
Source: RNAcentral
UUAAUUAUAUUUUUGUGUUUGACAAGCCUUUCGGACCUGUGCCUACGUAUCAACAUAAAAAUGAGGGAUCAAAACCUCGUAGUUCGUGAUACAAAAUUCAAAGUGGAUGCAUUGCUUUUAACAAAAAUUAAAUUUGAAAGGAACAAAGGCCUAAAAAUGGUUUGAAUGAGUUAAUUAUUUUUGGCUUUUUGAAAGUUUAAGUCAAG